UGAAGCUGGAAUUGCUAGUAAUGGCAGGUCAGCAUACUGCCGUGAAUACGUUCCCGGGCCCUUGUACACACCGCCCGUCACACCAUGAGAGUUGGAAAUACCCGAAGCCUGUGAGCUAACUUAAAGAGGCAGCAGUCGAAGGUAGAGCCAAUGAUUGGGGUGAAGUCGUAACAAGGUACC
Molecule: ribosomal RNA, 180 nt
Filed under: uncultured bacterium
Lineage: Bacteria
Description: partial 16S ribosomal RNA
Rfam family: Bacterial small subunit ribosomal RNA
Source: RNAcentral